AGGAUGAACGCUGGCGGCGUGCCUAACACAUGCAAGUCGAACGUCCUUCUUCUUCGGAAGAAGGGAGUGGCGGACGGGUGAGUACCACGUGGGUUAUCUACCGUGAGGUGAGGAAUACCGGCGAGAAAUCGCCGACAAGACCGCAUAGGCUCGAUGCAAGUCGAGCAAAGCUCGCUCGCAAGAGGGAGCGCCACACGAGGAGCCUGCGCCCGAUUAGCUGGCUGGUGGAGUAAUGGUUCACCAGGGCGACGAUCGGUAGCUGGUCUGAGAGGACGAUCAGCCACACUGGGAUUGAGAACGGCCCAGACUCCUACGGGGGGCAGCAGUGAGGAAUUUUCGUCAAUGGGGGCAACCCUGAACGAGCAACGCCGCGUGCAGGAAGAAGGUUUUCGGAUCGUAAACUGCUUUUUCUCGGGGAAGAGAACGGACGGUACCCGAGGAAGAAGCCCCGGCUAACUACGCGCCAGCAGCCGCGGUAA
RNAcentral lists this ribosomal RNA (479 nucleotides) under uncultured bacterium. Its description in RNAcentral is "SSU rRNA". It matches the Rfam family "Bacterial small subunit ribosomal RNA", at positions 26 to 523 of the family's 1533-position model. The record is from RNAcentral.